AAAGAUUUAGUUUAAUAAAACAUUUGCUUGUCAAGAAAAAAAUACUUUCAAUAGUAAUCUUUA
RNAcentral lists this transfer RNA (63 nucleotides) under Eurhadina cuii. RNAcentral's name for it is "tRNA-Asp". It matches the Rfam family "tRNA". From Rfam's summary of the family: Transfer RNA (tRNA) molecules are approximately 80 nucleotides in length. The record is from RNAcentral. Lineage: Eukaryota; Metazoa; Arthropoda; Insecta; Hemiptera; Cicadellidae.